GUAGGGUGCGAGCGUUGUCCGGAAUUAUUGGGCGUAAAGGGCUCGUAGGCGGUCUGUUGCGUCGGGAGUGAAAACUCAGGGCUUAACCCUGAGCCUGCUUCCGAUACGGGCAGACUGGAGGUAUGCAGGGGAGAACGGAAUUCCUGGUGUAGCGGUGAAAUGCGCAGAUAUCAGGAGGAACACCGGUGGCGAAGGCGGUUCUCUGGGCAUUACCUGACGCUGAGGAGCGAAAGUGUGGGGAGCGAACAGGAUUAGAUACCCUGGUAGUCCACACCGUAAACGUUGGGCGCUAGGUGUGGGACUCAUUCCACGAGUUCCGUGCCGCAGCUAACGCAUUAAGCGCCCCGCCUGGGGAGUACGGCCGCAAGGUUA
Molecule: ribosomal RNA, 372 nt
Filed under: uncultured bacterium
Lineage: Bacteria
Description: bacterial SSU rRNA
Rfam family: Bacterial small subunit ribosomal RNA
Source: RNAcentral